UUCGCCCUUAGAGUUUGAUCCUGGCUCAGGAUGAACGCUGGCGGCGUGCCUAACACAUGCAAGUCGAACGAAGCUUUCUGAUCGGAGAUUCCUCAAAGAUCAGGAAUGACUUAGUGGCGGACGGGUGAGUAACGCGCGAGUAACCUGCCUUUCAGAGGGGGACAACAGUUGGAAACGACUGCUAAUACCGCAUAACAUUACGAGGGGGCAUCUCCUUGUAAUCAAAGGAGCAAUCCGCUGAAAGAUGGACUCACGUCUGAUUAGCUAGUUGGAGAGGUAACGGCUCACCAAGGCUGCGAUCAGUAGCCGGACUGAGAGGUUGAACGGCCACAUUGGGACUGAGAUACGGCCCACACUCCUACGGGAGGCAGCAGUGGGGAAUAUUGGGCAAUGGGCAAAAGCCUGACCCAGCCACGCCGCGUGAAGGAAGAAGGUCUUCGGAUUGUAAACUUCUUUUAUGAGGGACGAAGGACGUGACGGUACCUCAUGAAUAAGCCACGGCUAACUACGUGCCAGCAGCCGCGGUAAUACGUAGGUGGCAAGCGUUAUCCGGAUUUACUGGGUGUAAAGGGCGCGUAGGCGGGAUGGCAAGUCAGAUGUGAAAUCUAUGGGCUUAACUCAUAAACUGCAUUUGAAACUGUCAUUCUUGAGUGCUGGAGAGGUAGACGGAAUUCCUUGUGUAGCGGUGAAAUGCGUAGAUAUAAGGAAGAACACCAGUGGCGAAUGCUGUCUACUGGACAGUAACUGACGCUGAGGCGCGAAAGCGGGGGGGAGCAAACAGGAUUAGAUACCCUGGUAGUCCACGCUGUAAACGAUGAUUACUAGGUGUGGGAGGACUGACCCCUUCCGUGCCGCAGUUAACACAAUAAGUAUUCCCCCUGGGGAGUACGGCCCGCAAAGGUUGAAAAUCAAAGGAAAUGAGGGGGGCCCCCCACAAGCAGUGGAUUAUGUGGUUUAAUUCGAAGCAACGCGAAGAACCUUACCGGGGCUUGACAUCCUACUAACGAAGCAGAGAGGCAUUAGGUUCCCUUCGGGGAAAGUAGAGACAGGUGGUGCAUGGUUGUCGUCAGCUCGUGUCGUGAGAUGUUGGGUUAAGUCCCGCAACGAGCGCAACCCCUAUUUUUAGUUGCUACGCAAGAGCACUCUAGCGAGACUGCCGUUGACAAAACGGAGGAAGGUGGGGACGACGUCAAAUCAUCAUGCCCCUUAUGUCCUGGGCUACACACGUAAUACAAUGGCGUCCAACAAAGGGAAGCAAAACCGCGAGGUGGAGCAAAUCCCCAAAAGACGUCUCAGUUCGGAUUGCAGGCUGCAACUCGCCUACAUGAAGCUGGAAUCGCUAGUAAUCGCGAAUCAGAAUGUCGCGGUGAAUACGUUCCCGGG
This 1383-nucleotide ribosomal RNA is filed under the name uncultured bacterium. RNAcentral describes it as "bacterial SSU rRNA". It matches the Rfam family "Bacterial small subunit ribosomal RNA", at positions 1 to 1378 of the family's 1533-position model. The record is from RNAcentral.